RNAcentral lists this ribosomal RNA (882 nucleotides) under uncultured archaeon. Its description in RNAcentral is "bacterial SSU rRNA". It matches the Rfam family "Archaeal small subunit ribosomal RNA", at positions 36 to 900 of the family's 1478-position model. The record is from RNAcentral.
GGGUGAGCCUAAGCCAUGCAAGUCUAAUGGUUAGCUAAAUAAUCAUGGCAAACUGCUCAGUAACAAGUGAUUAACUUACCCUUUGGUGGGGCAUACCCUCGGGAAACUGAGGCUAAUUCCCCAUAGUUGAAUAUGCCUGGAAUGGUUUUUCAUCGAAAGAAUAUAACAAAUGCGUUAUAUUUGCCGAAGGAUAGGAUCGCUCCCGAUUAUGGUUGUUGGCGAGAUAAUGGCUCACCAAGCCUAUGAUCGGUAAGGGCCGUGAGAGCGGAGGCCCUGAGAUGGGAACUGAGACAAUGUCCCAGGCCUUACGAGGAGCAGCAGGCGCGAAACCUUUACAAUGCACGAAAGUGUGAUAAGGUUACCCGGAGUGCUAAAAGCACAACUUUUAGCUGUUAUAGUGUGUAGAUAACACUAUGAGAAAGGAGAGGGCAAGGCUGGUGCCAGCCGCCGCGGUAAAACCAGCUCUUCAAGUGGUCGGGACAAUUAUUGAGCUUAAAGUGUCCGUAGCCGGUUUGGUAAGUCCCUGGUUAAAUCUGGUAGCUUAACUAUCAGUCAGCUAGGGAAACUGCCUCGCUAGAGGGCGGGAAAGGUCUGAGGUACUCCAGGGGUAGCGGUGAAAUGCGAUAAUCCUUGGGGGACCACCAGUGGCGAAGGCGUCAGACUGGAACGCGCCUGACGGUGAGGGACGAAAGCCAGGGGAGCGAACGGGAUUAGAUACCCCGGUAGUCCUGGCUGUAAACGAUGCAUGUUAGGUGUUGGUAGGGCUAUGAGCUGUAUCAGUGCCGUAGAGAAAUCGUUAAACGUGCCGCUUGGGAAAUACGCUCGCAAGAGUGAAACUUAAAGGAAUUGGCGGGGGAGCACCACAAGGGGUGAAGCCUGCGG